Molecule: ribosomal RNA, 450 nt
Filed under: uncultured Glomeromycotina
Lineage: Eukaryota; Fungi; Glomeromycota
Description: SSU rRNA
Rfam family: Eukaryotic small subunit ribosomal RNA
Source: RNAcentral
AGCAGCCGCGGUAAUUCCAGCUCCAAUAGCGUAUAUUAAAGUUGUUGCAGUUAAAAAGCUCGUAGUUGAAUUUCGGGAUCAAUACGUCGGUCGUGCUUCGGUACGUACUGGCAUUGUUGGUUUCUCCCUUUUGACGAACCAUGAUGUCAUUUAUUUGGUGUCAUGGGAAAUCAGGACUGUUACUUUGAAAAAAUUAGAGUGUUUAAAGCAGGCUCACGCUUGAAUACAUUAGCAUGGAAUAAUGAAAUAGGACGUUUGAUUCUAUUUUGUUGGUUUCUAGGAUCGACGUAAUGAUUAAUAGGGAUAGUUGGGGGCAUUAGUAUUCAAUUGUCAGAGGUGAAAUUCUUGGAUUUAUUGAAGACUAACUAACUGCGAAAGCAUUUGCCAAGGAUGCUUUCAUUAAUCAAGAACGAAAGUUAGGGGAUCGAAGACGAUCAGAUACCGUCGUAG